AGAGUUUGAUCCUGGCUCAGGAUUAACGCUGGCGGCGUGCCUAAUACAUGCAAGUCGGAUGGUUAGCUUGCUAACCAUGGCGAACGGGUGAGUAACACGUAGGCAACCUGUCUGUAAGACGAGGAUAACCAUUGGAAACGAUGGAUAAUACUGGAUAGGAUAUAUUGAGGCAUCUUAAUAUAUUUAAAGAUUUAUCACUUACGGAGGGGCCUGCGGCGCAUUAGCUAGUUGGGGAGGUAGAGGCUCACCAAGGCGAUGAUGCGUAGCCGGACUGAGAGGUUGAACGGCCACAAUGGGACUGAGAACGGCCCAUACUCCUACGGGAGGCGGCAGUAGGGAAUUUUCGGCAAUGGGCGGAAGCCUGACCGAAGCAACGCCGCGUGAACGAAGAAGUAUUUCGGUAUGUAAAGUUCUUUUAUUUGGGAAGAAAAGACAGAUUGACUGUACCAAAUGAAUAAGCUCCGGCUAACUACGUGCCAGCCGCUGC
Molecule: ribosomal RNA, 487 nt
Filed under: uncultured bacterium
Lineage: Bacteria
Description: bacterial SSU rRNA
Rfam family: Bacterial small subunit ribosomal RNA
Source: RNAcentral